RNAcentral lists this ribosomal RNA (253 nucleotides) under uncultured bacterium. Its description in RNAcentral is "partial 16S ribosomal RNA". It matches the Rfam family "Bacterial small subunit ribosomal RNA", at positions 524 to 776 of the family's 1533-position model. The record is from RNAcentral.
UACGAAGGGUCCAAGCGUUAUCCGGAUUUAUUGGGUUUAAAGGGUGCGUAGGCGGCUUAUUAAGUCAGUGGUGAAAUACUCUAGCUCAACUAGAGGGGUGCCAUUGAUACUGAUGAGCUUGAGUACAGAUGAGGUAGGCGGAAUUGACGGUGUAGCGGUGAAAUGCUUAGAUAUCGUCAAGAACACCUAUAGCGAAGGCAGCUUACUAGGCUGUAACUGACGCUGAGGCACGAAAGUGUGGGGAUCAAACAGG